Gallus gallus (chicken) is the source of this 1928-nucleotide long non-coding RNA. The record is from Ensembl. Lineage: Eukaryota; Metazoa; Chordata; Aves; Galliformes; Phasianidae.
UGUUAUUUCCGUUGUUCUUCUUGGCCUGUCAUCUAAGUUUCUGUAGUAUGUUUCUGUCUCUCUGGAGGUUAUUUCCAUUGUUUCCAUUAUUUCCGUUAUUUCCGCUUUUUCCGUUAUUUCCGUAUUUCUUCUUGGCCUCUCAUCUAAGUUUCUGCAGUAUGUUUCUGUCUCUCUGCAGGUUAUUUCCGUUAUGUCUGUUAUUUCCGUUCUUUAUGCAAUUUUUCUUGGCCUGUCAUCUAAGUUUCUGCAUUAUGUUUCUGUCUCUCUGGAGGUUAUUUCCGUUAUUUCAUUUAUUUCUGUUAUUUCCGUUGUUCUUCUUGGCCUGUCAUCUAAGUUUCUGCAGUAUGUUUCUGUCUCUCUGGUGGUUAGUUUUGUUAGUUCUGUUAGUUCCGUUAUUUAUUUCCGUUAUUUCCAGAAUUUAUUUCCGUUAGUUCCGUUAUUUAUUUCUCUUAGUUCCUUUAUUUAUUUCGGUUGGUUCCUUUAUUUCUUUCUGUUAGUUUCGUCAUUUAUUUCCGUUCCUUCCGUUAUUAAGUUCCGUUAUUUAGUUCCGUUAUUUAGUUCAUUUAUUUCCGUUGUUCUUCUUGGCCUGUCAUCUAAGUUUCUGCAGUCUGUUUCUGUCUCUCUGGAGGUUAUUUACGUUAUUUCCGUUAUUUAUUUCCAUUAUUUCCGUUAUUUAUUUCCGUUAUUUCCGUUCUUUAUUUCCGUUAUUUCCGAUAUUUCUGUUAUUAUUUCCGUUAUUCUUCUUGGCCUUUUUCUAAGUUUCUGCGGUAUGUUUCUGUCUGUCUGGUGGUUAUUUCUGAUAUUUCCAUUAUUUCCAGUAUUUCUGUGAUUCUUCUUGGCCUGUCAUCUAAGUUUCUGCAUUUUGUUUCUGUCUCUCUGGAGGUUGUUUUUUUGUUUCCGUUGUUUCCGUUCUUUCCAUUAUUUCUGUUAUUUCCGUUGUUCUUCUUGGCCUGUCAUCUAAGUUUCUGCAGUCUUUUUCUCCCUCUCUGGAGGUUAUUUCUGUUAUUUCCAUUAUUAUUUCCGUUAUUAUUUCUGUUAUUCUUUCCGUUAUUCUUCUUGGCCUGUCAUCUAAGUUUCCUCAGUAUGUUUCUGUCUCUCUGGAGGUUAUUUCUGUUGUUUCCGUUAUUUCUGUUGUACUUCUUGGCCUGUCAUCUAAGUUUCUGCAGUAUGUUUCUGUCUCUCUGGAGGUUGUUUCCGUUCUUUCCGGUUUUUCCGUUGUUUCCGUUAUUCUUCUUGGCCUGUCAUCUAAGAUUAUACAGUAUUUUUCCGUUAUUUUUCCAUUAUUUUUUCUGUUAUUUCAUUUCUUCUUUUUGGACGAUCAUCUAACUUUCUGCUGUAUGUUUCUGUGUUUCUGGCAGUUGUUUCCGUUGUUUCCAAUGUUUCCAUUAUUUCCAUUGUUUUUGUUAUUCUUCUUGGCCUGUCAUCUAAGUUUCUGCUGUAUGUUUCUGUCUCUCUGCAGGUUAUUUCCGAUUUUUCCGUUAUUUCCGUUAUUUCCGUUGUUCUUCUUGACCUGUCAUCUAAUUUUCUGCAGUAUGUUUCUGUCUCUCUGGAGGUUGUUUCCGUUGUUUCCAUUCUUUCCAUUCUUUCCCUUAUUCUUCUUCACCAGUCAUCUAAGUUUCUGCAGUAUGUUUCUGUCCCUCCUGUAUUUGUUACCGUUUUUUCAGUUAUUUCUGUUAUUAUUUCCGUAAUUAUUUCUGUAAUUUUUUCUGUUAUUUUUACCAUUAUAUUUUUCUGUUAUUAUUUUUAUUAAGAUUUUUUCGUUUUUUUUCUCUUUAUUAUUUCCAUUAUUUCUGUUAUUAUUUUUUUCUUUAUUUACUUUAUGAUUUCCUCUAUUAUUUCCGUUACUAUUUCAGUUAUUUCCGUUAUUCUUCCUGGCUUGUCAUCUAUGUUUCUGCAGUAUGUUCCUCUCUCUCUGGAGGUUAUUUCCG